RNAcentral lists this ribosomal RNA (244 nucleotides) under Listeria monocytogenes. Its description in RNAcentral is "partial 23S ribosomal RNA". It matches the Rfam family "Bacterial large subunit ribosomal RNA", at positions 1388 to 1628 of the family's 2925-position model. The record is from RNAcentral. Lineage: Bacteria; Bacillati; Bacillota; Bacilli; Caryophanales; Listeriaceae.
GACCUAAGCCGAGGCCGAAAGGCGUAGGCGAUGGACAACAGGAAGAGAUUCCUGUACCAGUGCUAAUUGAUUAACCGAUGGGGUGACACAGAAGGAAAGGGAAUCGCACGAAUGGAAAAGUGCGUCCAAGCAGUGAGUGUGAGAAGUAGGCAAAUCCGCAUCUCGCGAAGCAUGAGCUGUGAAGGGGAAGGAAAUUAAGUACGGAAGUUCCUGAUUUCACGCUGUCUAGAAUAGCCUCUAGGAA